AUUGAACGCUGGCGGCAGGCUUAACACAUGCAAGUCGAGCGGGGAAGUGUAGCUUGCUACCUUACCUAGCGGCGGACGGGUGAGUAAUGCUUAGGAAUCUGCCUAUUAGUGGGGGACAACAUUCCGAAAGGAAUGCUAAUACCGCAUACGUCCUACGGGAGAAAGCAGGGGAUCUUCGGACCUUGCGCUAAUAGAUGAGCCUAAGUCGGAUUAGCUAGUUGGUGGGGUAAAGGCCUACCAAGGCGACGAUCUGUAGCGGGUCUGAGAGGAUGAUCCGCCACACUGGGACUGAGACACGGCCCAGACUCCUACGGGAGGCAGCAGUGGGGAAUAUUGGACAAUGGGCGGAAGCCUGAUCCAGCCAUGCCGCGUGUGUGAAGAAGGCCUUUUGGUUGUAAAGCACUUUAAGCGAGGAGGAGGCUACUCUAGUUAAUACCUAGGGAUAGUGGACGUUACUCGCAGAAUAAGCACCGGCUAACUCUGUG
This 485-nucleotide ribosomal RNA is filed under the name uncultured bacterium. RNAcentral's name for it is "partial 16S ribosomal RNA". It matches the Rfam family "Bacterial small subunit ribosomal RNA", at positions 30 to 507 of the family's 1533-position model. The record is from RNAcentral.